This 316-nucleotide long non-coding RNA is filed under the name Oryza sativa tropical japonica subgroup. RNAcentral's name for it is "lncRNA OsCMeo_03g0007610". The record is from RNAcentral. Lineage: Eukaryota; Viridiplantae; Streptophyta; Magnoliopsida; Poales; Poaceae.
CUUGGCUCUUUUGAGACCCUGACGGACGACGUCAGCGGCUUUUCGUCGCUUCUCUCCUUGGAGACGUCGUUUAGGCAUCCCCUUGCCGAACCACUCGAACAAUUGGUGCAUGCACGCUCUAGAUUCUCAUCCUCUUGUGGCGGCGUCCUAGGUGUUUUUUUGGCGAUCUCGUCUAUGAUUCGUUGUUGGCGUAGUGGCGACCGGUCCGGUGUCAGCCUUCUCCUGGACCUGUGUGUUGGCGCUGUCGGUGUGUGGGUGAUGGUAUUUUUCCCCUUUUUUCUUGGUUACGAUCUACCAAGGUUUUAAUCCUGUAUUU